GGUGGGGUGGGGUAACGAGGGAGGCCGGGUGCCGGUGGCCAUGGCACUCCUGUCUAUCUGUGACCAGGAGCAAGAAUGUCCUCCAAGGCCUCCUGGGAUCUAGACCCUCAGCCUGGAGUCCCAGGUGGCCAAGCCCCCCCCCUGCUCUGGAGGACCCCACACCCAGCAUCUGUGCAGGUCGAGGGCCAUAGAGCUGGGGACCACAUGCCCCAAGUGGGACAGCCCCCUCCUGCUGCAGGGGGUGGUGUCUGUGCCCCACCCAGGAGACCGCAAUGGGGCAGAGGCCAGCUCAGCCUGGUGGUGCUGGAAUGGGGUGUGCAGAGCCUCCCGCGGCCCGUCCCCUCGCCCUUUCUCACCCCGGCGCAUCCCAGGCUCCCAUGCCCAAGGCCCAGUCCUCCCUGACCUCAUGGCUGGCAGUGCCACCUGCCCUCACCGCUCCAGGCCCGAGGAGCACCCCGGCCCUCUGUUCCUCUGCUUCCAACUCUUGGCCUUUCUGA
RNAcentral lists this long non-coding RNA (497 nucleotides) under Marmota monax (woodchuck). The record is from RNAcentral. Lineage: Eukaryota; Metazoa; Chordata; Mammalia; Rodentia; Sciuridae.